This 80-nucleotide transfer RNA is filed under the name Schistocephalus solidus. It matches the Rfam family "tRNA". Rfam says of the family: Transfer RNA (tRNA) molecules are approximately 80 nucleotides in length. The record is from Rfam by way of RNAcentral. Lineage: Eukaryota; Metazoa; Platyhelminthes; Cestoda; Diphyllobothriidea; Diphyllobothriidae.
GGCAGUAUGGCCGAGCGGUCUAAGGUGCUGGUUUUAGGCACCAGUCCAAAAGGGCGUGGGUUUAAAUCCCACAACUGACA